GUGAGGAAUAUUGCGCAAUGGAGGCAACUCUGACGCAGCCAUGCCGCGUGCAGGAAGAAGGCGCUACGCGUUGUAAACUGCUUUUAACCGGGAAGAAACCCCAGGACGUGUCCUGGGUUGACGGUACCGGAGGAAUAAGCACCGGCUAACUUCGUGCCAGCAGCCGCGGUAAUACGAAGGGUGCAAGCGUUGUCCGGAUUCAUUGGGUUUAAAGGGUGCGUAGGCGGAGCGUUAAGUCAGUGGUGAAAUCCUGCAGCUUAACUGUAGACUUGCCAUUGAUACUGGCGCUCUUGAGUGCGCUUGAAGUGGGCGGAAUGUGCCGUGUAGCGGUGAAAUGCUUAGAUAUGGCACAGAACACCAAUUGCGAAGGCAGCUCACUAAGGCGAUACUGACGCUGAGGCACGAAAGCGUGGGGAUCGAACAGGAUUAGAUACCCCUGUAGUCC
RNAcentral lists this ribosomal RNA (445 nucleotides) under uncultured bacterium. Its description in RNAcentral is "partial 16S ribosomal RNA". It matches the Rfam family "Bacterial small subunit ribosomal RNA", at positions 354 to 796 of the family's 1533-position model. The record is from RNAcentral.